RNAcentral lists this ribosomal RNA (497 nucleotides) under uncultured bacterium. RNAcentral's name for it is "partial 16S ribosomal RNA". It matches the Rfam family "Bacterial small subunit ribosomal RNA", at positions 28 to 507 of the family's 1533-position model. The record is from RNAcentral.
GACGAACGCUGGCGGCGUGCCUAAUACAUGCAAGUUGAGCGCUGAAGGUUGGUACUUGUACCAACUGGAUGAGCAGCGAACGGGUGAGUAACGCGUGGGGAAUCUGCCUUUGAGCGGGGGACAACAUUUGGAAGCGAAUGCUAAUACCGCAUAAAGACUUUAAACACAAGUUUUAAGUUUGAAAGAUGCAAUUGCAUCACUCAAAGAUGAUCCCGCGUUGUAUUAGCUAGUUGGUGAGGUAAAGGCUCACCAAGGCGAUGAUACAUAGCCGACCUGAGAGGGUGAUCGGCCACAUUGGGACUGAGACACGGCCCAAACUCCUACGGGAGGCAGCAGUAGGGAAUCUUCGGCAAUGGACGAAAGUCUGACCGAGCAACGCCGCGUGAGUGAAGAAGGUUUUCGGAUCGUAAAACUCUGUUGGUAGAGAAGAACGUUGGUGAGAGUGGAAAGCUCAUCAAGUGACGGUAACUACCCAGAAAGGGACGGCUAACUACGUG